RNAcentral lists this ribosomal RNA (197 nucleotides) under uncultured bacterium. RNAcentral's name for it is "partial 16S ribosomal RNA". It matches the Rfam family "Bacterial small subunit ribosomal RNA", at positions 328 to 539 of the family's 1533-position model. The record is from RNAcentral.
ACGCUCGACACCUACGGAGGCAGCAGUGGGGAAUAUUGCACAAUGGGGGAAACCCUGAUGCAGCGACGCCGCGUGGAGGAAGAAGGUCUUCGGAUUGUAAACUCCUGUUGUUGGGGAAAAAGAGGAUGGUACCCAACAAGGAAGUGACGGCUAACUACGUGCCAGCAGCCGCGGUAAUCUGAGCGGGCUGGCAAGGC